CAAAAACUGCAAAAAAAAAAAAAAAAAAAAAACAAUAAAAGUAUGUGUUUAUAUGGACAAAUUGAGAGUAAAGGGAUAUCAAUUCAAACUAACUGAGGAAGAAAUGAGGUUAGGGUGAAAAUUUUUCCCAAAAAUUCCAUUAUUACUUCAAUUAGGGAAUUAAUAGAACAUGUUAAAUGGGAGAAAAGAUACAGGUUAUGUAUGACAUAAAGAUGCACUGUAGGGUGGCGCCUGUGGCUCAAGGAGUAGGGCGCCGGUCCCAUAUGCCGGAGGUGGUGGGUUCAAACCCAGCCCUGGCCAAAAACCACAAAAAAAAAAAAAAAAAAAAAGAUGCACUGUAAAGAUAACAGUAGAAUAAAAAAUACAAACUUUCCUCAACACCAAAAGAUAUUCCAGGGGAAAAAAAGCAAAUAAAA
This is a long non-coding RNA of Nycticebus coucang (slow loris), 416 nucleotides long. RefSeq lists it as uncharacterized. The transcript has 2 exons. The record is from RefSeq and is a predicted model, not a curated record. Lineage: Eukaryota; Metazoa; Chordata; Mammalia; Primates; Lorisidae.